GGAAAUGCUUUCACUUCUACGCACAGUCAGACAUUUACUUUAGUGUCUGACCUUUUUCUACCUAAUGUUUGAGAAAAGGGUAUUAUCCUUUUCUUGGAAACAAUGCAGGGGCCUCUCUGUACUUUCUAUCCUGUUGCACCGCACAGGACCUGACCUGCACCGUCACUCCCGAGGCUGAUGGCCGAACAACCUACAGGAUCCCGGACUUUAACCAAUCGCAAUGCCAGAUUUCAUGGACCGAUGCCAAUAACACUGUGCUGGCCAGGCAAGACCAACAAAGAGAUGACAACGUGGGGACAACUCUCAUCACACCAACAUGUAUGGACAUAGUCUUGUACAAGAGAGACUGUAUUUCAGAGGGGAUUGUACAGACGGCAACCUGUAAUGCAACUUGCAAUGGACCUGCUGGGCUUGUGACAGAAAACGGUCCUCGCACUCAUGGCAUUAUCAUCUGUGUUGCUGUUGCCAUCUUGGCACUGGGAAUCAUUACUGGUGUUGCUGUCUGGAGAAAAAGAUCAGAGUACGUGCAAGAGACUUACUGAGAGGCCUCCACCCAUAUCUGCCACAUUUUUGAAAACAGCCAUGAACUACACUCCCACUCCAGGUCAACCCGAGGAUGUUAAUAUUUAAUCAGCCACUGGGUAGAGGAGCUGUCUGUUUUAUGCUUGACAACCUACAAUAUUUGUAUGAUGAGUCUUCCCCUGUAGUGUAAGGUUAAGAUUCCAUUUCCUUGCAUAAAAAACACAUACAUAUAUACUAGGGCCAGGCUGCCUUUUUACCUCUGAAGCCCUAUGUUAGCCAAGCUGACAUCCAUCAUGGACAACACCUGUCAUCCACUGUGUCAGACCGUGGAGGCUCUGAUCAGCUCCUUCAGUGGCAGACUGUUACACCCACAGUGUAGGAAAGAGCGCUAUUGAAGGUCAUUCUUCCCCACUGCUGCCAGACUGUACAACACAACAGUAUAACCCUGUUCUAUAUGUCACAUCUGUACUGGUCUGUGAUCUUUAUCCCAUGUGAAUCUGGUAUAUCUGUUAUUUGAGAAGUAAAAAUUCUACUGCGAAAAACCUAUUUAAGCAAACACAGGGAUCCCAUUAUAAUAUUCUUCUAGUGCAACUCAAUGUUUCUGUGACCUGUAGUCAUUUGCAACAUUCUUUGUUUCCUCCGCACCAGGACUGGGAAAUAUUUCAAAAUAAUUUGAUUAACUGAGAUUAAACUUCUGAAAUUGUGAAAAAUUGCAAAAUAGAAGUUAUUCUUCUGGAGAGUUUUCGUACAACAAAAAUAACCAAUUUGCUUUCGCAAUGCAUUCAUUGUGACUGUAACUGUGUCAUAUAAUUUUAGUAAAAAAAGUAUUUUUUACUCGAGUUUUGUCUUUAGUUCAUGCAGCCAAAACACAAUUGAUUAUGAAAAUUAAGAUUUAAUCUUUUUGCCAGAUUGCCUUCAGCUGAUAAGCUAUUGUGGGAAAUAUUAGAUUUCCAUGAAGUCAUUUGCUCUGAUCUUAAAACAGAGCACACCUCCCAUACUCUCUUUCUCCUCUGUCCCCCUGUGUUGUCAAGUUACAUUCCAGUUAUAUUCCAGUGUUUCAUUGUUAUUACAUUCUAAUGAAUUUGUAUGGAAGCACAAUUAAGCCUCCAUUUCCAUUCUAUUUUUUAUAUCAAGUCUUUCACACUUGACCAUGACAGUUUUACAAAUGCAUUACUUGCAUUAUGUCAGUGCCAUUGUCCAAACACUUUUUAUAUUAUUAUACUUUGUUGUGAACAGUGAAACAGAUGUUUUACUAGUUGCCUCCUAUCUUGCCUUUUGCACUGCUGUAUUUUAUACUUUGCCUUAUCAUUCAACCAUGCACUAUUUGUAUUGCUCAGUGUUUGUGAGAGCAGAAAACUGAGACUGAACAUCUGAUUUAUUAAGUAUAAAAUCCCUUUUCCUUUAUAUUGAAACAACUGAAAGACAAGCACUUUAGCCUGAGUUAUCCUACUGUUUUCUGAGAUCAGAAUUGUUAUUUUUUAUCAUCGUCUAUUUGACAAAUGUAGAUGUGAAAACAGACUCAACCUGCACUUUUAACAAGCCCAGCUUUAAAGACAAAUAACACAGCCAAAGUUUAGAUCUGUUGUCUGUGCUCCACAUAGAGGAGCAUGUCAUUUCAUUGGGAUGAAGAUACUUGACGCUGUGGAAGCUGAGAGGUGGUUUCAGUUCUAGUUCCACUCAGGUCUGGAACAUAAAACUAAAACUGUAGCAUUACAGCCAUCACCACGAUCUGAAAAAAAGCACUUAUUUACUUGAUUUUGAUAACUUGUAUAUCUAAAUAUUAAAUAGUAAUAUUUACUGAAGUUAGAUUUAUAGUGAUAUUAUAGUGUACCAAAUGCAAAUAAUGAUACUUAAUAAUGAUGAAGUAUUAUUAUGAAUAUUCCUAGUUUGUAUGUUGGAUUUUUAAUAUUCUGCUCUCAUAUACUAAAGCUAAUACAUUUGUAAGAUAUGGUUGAUGUAUUUUUUAAAAUGUAUGUAUUUGCAUAUAUUCACUAAUGUAUGUCUAGCUUAAUUAUAAACAUUGUAUUUUGUAAUGUUAUACAGUUCAUGUUGUCUGUUUCACUGAACAGCAUUAAAGCAAAUAUUGAAAAAACA
This is a long non-coding RNA of Sphaeramia orbicularis (orbiculate cardinalfish), 2616 nucleotides long. RefSeq lists it as uncharacterized. The transcript has 7 exons. The record is from RefSeq and is a predicted model, not a curated record. Lineage: Eukaryota; Metazoa; Chordata; Actinopteri; Kurtiformes; Apogonidae.